RNAcentral lists this transfer RNA (69 nucleotides) under Lagocephalus sceleratus (silver-cheeked toadfish). Its description in RNAcentral is "tRNA-Glu". It matches the Rfam family "tRNA". Rfam says of the family: Transfer RNA (tRNA) molecules are approximately 80 nucleotides in length. Lineage: Eukaryota; Metazoa; Chordata; Actinopteri; Tetraodontiformes; Tetraodontidae. RNAcentral also lists the same sequence under 1 other name. The record is from RNAcentral.
GUUCUUGUAGUAGAAACACAACGGUGGCUUUUCACGUCACAGGUCCUGGUUAGAGUCCGGGCAGGAACU